This 301-nucleotide ribosomal RNA is filed under the name uncultured bacterium. Its description in RNAcentral is "partial 16S ribosomal RNA". It matches the Rfam family "Bacterial small subunit ribosomal RNA", at positions 509 to 807 of the family's 1533-position model. The record is from RNAcentral.
CAGUAGCCGCGGUAAUACGUAGGGUGCGAGCGUUAAUCGGAAUUACUGGGCGUAAAGCGUGCGCAGGCGGUUUGUUAAGACCGAUGUGAAAUCCCCGGGCUCAACCUGGGAACUGCAUUGGUGACUGGCAAGCUAGAGUAUGGCAGAGGGGGGUAGAAUUCCACGUGUAGCAGUGAAAUGCGUAGAGAUGUGGAGGAAUACCGAUGGCGAAGGCAGCCCCCUGGGCCAAUACUGACGCUCAUGCAUGAAAGCGUGGGGAGCAAACAGGAUUAGAUACCCGCGUAGUCCCUGUCUCUUAUAC